RNAcentral lists this ribosomal RNA (510 nucleotides) under uncultured bacterium. RNAcentral's name for it is "partial 16S ribosomal RNA". It matches the Rfam family "Bacterial small subunit ribosomal RNA", at positions 28 to 507 of the family's 1533-position model. The record is from RNAcentral.
GACGAACGCUGGCGGCGUGCUUAACACAUGCAAGUCGAACGAAGAGCGAUGGAAGCUUGCUUCUAUCAAUCUUAGUGGCGCACGGGUGAGUAACGCGUAAUCAACCUGCCCUUCAGAGGGGGACAACAGUUGGAAACGACUGCUAAUACCGCAUACGAUCUGACCUCGGCAUCGAGGAUAGAUGAAAGGUGGCCUCUAUUUAUAAGCUAUCACUGAAGGAGGGGAUUGCGUCUGAUUAGCUAGUUGGAGGGGUAACGGCCCACCAAGGCGAUGAUCAGUAGCCGGUCUGAGAGGAUGAACGGCCACAUUGGGACUGAGACACGGCCCAGACUCCUACGGGAGGCAGCAGUGGGGAAUCUUCCGCAAUGGACGAAAGUCUGACGGAGCAACGCCGCGUGAGUGAUGACGGCCUUCGGGUUGUAAAGCUCUGUUAAUCGGGACGAAAGGCCUUCUUGCGAAUAGUUAGAAGGAUUGACGGUACCGGAAUAGAAAGCCACGGCUAACUACGUG